CCGAGUUUACAACCCCAAACCCCUGUGAACAUACCACUUGUUGCCUCGGCGGAUCAGCCCGCUCCCGGUAAAACGGGACGGCCCGCCAGAGGACCCCUAAACUCUGUUUCUAUAUGUAACUUCUGAGUAAAACCAUAAAUAAAUCA
Molecule: unclassified non-coding RNA, 146 nt
Filed under: soil metagenome
Description: partial internal transcribed spacer 1
Source: RNAcentral